Non-coding RNA from Cinara cedri, 293 nucleotides. The record is from the annotation of a GenBank genome assembly. Lineage: Eukaryota; Metazoa; Arthropoda; Insecta; Hemiptera; Aphididae.
GUCCAAAAAACUAUUUAUUUUGAUUGUAACGUGGAAUUUUAUCCGAAAAUAUUGUUCGUACGCGGUUAUUAGACGCACAUUUUUAAAUGAAAAUAUAUUAUCGAUAAUAAUCGUAAUUAAAAACUUUAAAGUGUCCACUGUAAAUUACCGAGCUCUAUCAUACAACCGAUUUCGAAACUUUCCUUUAAACCGUCCCAAUACAAACCUCUACGACCAUCGACCAAUAAUCUAACAGAAAAUCCCCUUACGCCAAUUCAAACGGAUCCGAUAUAAUAUUAUAUUCUCUCUCUCUC